GACGAACGUUGGCGGCGUGCUUAACACAUGCAAGUCGAACGGAAAGGCCCUGCUUUUGUGGGGUGCUCGAGUGGCGAACGGGUGAGUAACACGUGAGUAACCUGCCCUUGACUUUGGGAUAACUUCAGGAAACUGGGGCUAAUACCGGAUAGGAGCUCCUGCUGCAUGGUGGGGGUUGGAAAGUUUCGGCGGUUGGGGAUGGACUCGCGGCUUAUCAGCUUGUUGGUGGGGUAGUGGCUUACCAAGGCUUUGACGGGUAGCCGGCCUGAGAGGGUGACCGGCCACAUUGGGACUGAGAUACGGCCCAGACUCCUACGGGAGGCAGCAGUGGGGAAUAUUGCACAAUGGGCGGAAGCCUGAUGCAGCAACGCCGCGUGCGGGAUGACGGCCUUCGGGUUGUAAACCGCUUUCGCCUGUGACGAAGCGUGAGUGACGGUAAUGGGUAAAGAAGCACCGGCUAACUACGUGCCAGCAGCCGCGGUGAUACGUAGGGUGCGAGCGUUGUCCGGAUUUAUUGGGCGUAAAGGGCUCGUAGGUGGUUGAUCGCGUCGGAAGUGUAAUCUAGGGGCUUAACCCUGAGCGUGCUUUCGAUACGGGUUGACUUGAGGAAGGUAGGGGAGAAUGGAAUUCCUGGUGGAGCGGUGGAAUGCGCAGAUAUCAGGAGGAACACCAGUGGCGAAGGCGGUUCUCUGGGCCUUUCCUGACGCUGAGGAGCGAAAGCGUGGGGAGCGAACAGGCUUAGAUACCCUGGUAGUCCACGCUGUAAACGGUGGGUACUAGGUGUGGGGUCCAUUCCACGGGUUCCGUGCCGUAGCUAACGCUUUAAGUACCCCGCCUGGGGAGUACGGCAGCAAGGCUAAAACUCAAAGGAAUUGACGGGGCCCCGCACAAGCGGCGGAGCAUGCGGAUUAAUUCGAUGCAACGCGUAGAACCUUACCUGGGUUUGACAUGGAUCGGGAGUGCUCAGAGAUGGGUGUGCCUCUUUUGGGGUCGGUUCACAGGUGGUGCAUGCCUGUCGUCAGCUCGUGUCGUGAGAUGUUGGGUUAAGUCCCGCAACGAGCGCAACCCUUGUUCACUGUUGCCAGCACGUUAUGGUGGGGACUCAGUGGAGACCGCCGGGGUCAACUCGGAGGAAGGUGGGGAUGACGUCAAGUCCUCAUGCCCCUUAUGUCCAGGGCUUCACGCAUGCUACAAUGGCUGGUACAGAGAGUGGCGAGCCUGUGAGGGUGAGCGAAUCUCGGAAAGCCGGUCUCAGUUCGGAUUGGGGUUUGCAACUCGACCUCAUGAAGUCGGAGUCGCUAGUAAUCGCAGAUCAGCAACGCUGCGGUGAAUACGUUCCCGGG
RNAcentral lists this ribosomal RNA (1343 nucleotides) under uncultured bacterium. RNAcentral describes it as "16S ribosomal RNA". It matches the Rfam family "Bacterial small subunit ribosomal RNA", at positions 28 to 1378 of the family's 1533-position model. The record is from RNAcentral.